Molecule: microRNA, 24 nt
Filed under: Physcomitrium patens
Lineage: Eukaryota; Viridiplantae; Streptophyta; Bryopsida; Funariales; Funariaceae
Description: ppt-miR1053-5p
Source: miRBase by way of RNAcentral
GAUGGGUUAUCUCAAAGUGGACUU